This 1026-nucleotide ribosomal RNA is filed under the name gut metagenome. RNAcentral's name for it is "bacterial SSU rRNA". It matches the Rfam family "Bacterial small subunit ribosomal RNA", at positions 19 to 1054 of the family's 1533-position model. The record is from RNAcentral.
CUGGCUCAGGAUGAACGCUGGCGGCGUGCCUAAUACAUGCAAGUCGAACGAGGGUAGCAAUACCCUAGUGGCGAACGGGUGAGUAACACGUAGGUAACCUGCCUUUGAGACUGGGAUACCCAGACGAAAGUUUGGCUAAUACCGGAUAACAACGGUCUUCGCAUGAAGAUCGCUUGAAAGUCGCGUUUGCGACACUCUUAGAUGGACCUGCGGCACAUUAGCUAGUUGGUGAGAUAACAGCCCACCAAGGCGAGGAUGUGUAGCCGACCUGAGAGGGUGAACGGCCACAAUGGGACUGAGACACGGCCCAUACUCCUACGGGAGGCAGCAGUAGGGAGUUUUCGGCAAUGGGCGAAAGCCUGACCGAGCAACGCCGCGUGAGUGAUGAAGGUCUUCGGAUUGUAAAGCUCUGUUACGAGGGAUGAACAGCCACUUCAGGAAAUGGGAAUGGCCUGACAGUACCUCGCCAGAAAGUGACGGCUAACUACGUGCCAGCAGCCGCGGUAAUACGUAGGUCACGAGCGUUAUCCGGAAUUAUUGGGCGUAAAGAGUGAGCAGGCGGCAUGGCAAGUCUGAGGUGAAAGCGUGGGGCUCAACCCCAUACAGCCUUGGAAACUACCAAGCUAGAGUGCGUGAGAGGUAAACGGAACUCCAUGUGUAGCGGUGAAAUGCGUAGAUAUAUGGAAGAACACCGGUGGCGAAGGCGGUUUACCAGCAUGACACUGACGCUCAGUCACGAAAGCGUGGGGAGCAAAUAGGAUUAGAUACCCUAGUAGUCCACGCUGUAAACGAUGAUAACUAACUAUUUCCGUAAGGGAGUGGUGAAGCUAACGCAUUAAGUUAUCCGCCUGGGAAGUACGGUCGCAAGACUGAAACUUAAAGGAAUUGACGGGACCCCGCACAAGUAGUGGAGCAUGUGGUUUAAUUCGACGCUACGCGGAAAACCUUACCAGAACUUGACAUGGAGGCUAAGGCUUCUAGAAAUAGGAGAGAUAUAUGUCUCACACAGGUGGUGCAUGGUUGUCG